UACGGAGGAUGCGAGCGUUAUCCGGAUUUAUUGGGUUUAAAGGGUGCGUAGGCGGGCUUUUAAGUCAGCGGUAAAAAUUCGGGGCUCAACCCCGUCCGGCCGUUGAAACUGCAGGGCUUGAGUGAAGUAGAGGUAGGCGGAAUUCCCGGUGUAGCGGUGAAAUGCGUAGAGAUCGGGAGGAACACCAGUGGCGAAGGCGGCCUACUGGGCUUUAACUGACGCUGAGGCACGAAAGCGUGGGGAGCAAACAGG
RNAcentral lists this ribosomal RNA (252 nucleotides) under uncultured bacterium. RNAcentral describes it as "partial 16S ribosomal RNA". It matches the Rfam family "Bacterial small subunit ribosomal RNA", at positions 524 to 776 of the family's 1533-position model. The record is from RNAcentral.